GAAAGGACCAUAGCUCAGUGGUAGAGCAUCUGCUUUGCAGGCGCAAGGUCCUGGGUUCAAGUCCCGGCACUUUCA
Podarcis lilfordi (Lilford's wall lizard) is the source of this 75-nucleotide non-coding RNA. Lineage: Eukaryota; Metazoa; Chordata; Lepidosauria; Squamata; Lacertidae. The record is from the annotation of a GenBank genome assembly.